Pyrus x bretschneideri (Chinese white pear) is the source of this 1951-nucleotide RNA transcript. It is a transcript of the gene named protein CHROMATIN REMODELING 19-like, with no coding region annotated. Lineage: Eukaryota; Viridiplantae; Streptophyta; Magnoliopsida; Rosales; Rosaceae. The transcript is spliced from 4 exons. The record is from RefSeq and is a predicted model, not a curated record.
UCUGGACAAAAUGGAAAAUAGUCCCUCAUCCUCAUCUGACUACCUGAUCUCACCCUCUCUCUCACUCCGUCUCGCGUAGCCUUCGUCCUCACUGCACCCAGCCAGCCUUCUCCGCAUCCUCUCUCAUAGCCUUCUUUAUCGCAUUUCGAUCAGCCUUCAAGCCCCAAUAGCUCUCCCACUAUGACGAGGACUCCGAUUCUAAUUGCGUCGAGAUUAAACAUGAACUGGAGGACGACGGCUUCGAUUGCAUCAUUAUUAGAAUGAAUUGGAGGACGACAACGCCGGUGAGGUCCAGGAGACCAGGUCGGUCAAUUGUGGACGUCGUUUUGUGGUCGUGGACGAGGGUAGCAAUGGGGAUUGGGCUAAUAUUAUGUCAACGAGUGAGGAUGAGGAGGUAGAAGAGUUGGAGGACGACGAUAUAAUUGGGAAGGCUUUGCAGAAGUGUGCCAAGAUAUCAGUGGAUUUGAGAAAGAAGCUCCAAGGGAGUUCGGCUCUGGCAGUUUCUGAUUGGUACACCGAAGUGGAAGCUGCCUCUGUGAAGAUUGUCAAUCAGCCAUUUUGGUCGACGAGAUGGGUCUUGGGAAGACCAUUCAGGCUAUAACAUACUUGAUGCUAUUGAAACAUUUAAAUGAUGACCUGGGUCCACAUUUGAUUGUAUGCCCUGCUUCCUGUUUUGGAAAUUAGGAAAGAGAACUUAAAAAGUAGUGCCCAUCAUUCAUUGUUCUCCAAUAUCAUAGGGCUGCACAAUCGGCAUAUUCAAAAGAGUUGAACUCUUUGUCCAAAACUGGAUUAUCGCCUCCUUUUAAUGUUAUUCUCGUGUGUUACUCACUAUUUGAAAGACAUAGGUUUGCUUUGGUGUUGCAUAUGGAAAAUUGAUAGUAAUUUUGAUUUCAUGUUAAUUUAAUUCCUUCUACUUAUGGUCUUCUAGUGCACAGCAGAAAAUGAUCGUAAAAUUCUGAAACGAUGACAGUGGAGUUGUGUGCUUAUGGACGAGGCUCAUGCUUUGAAGGACAAAAAAUAGCUACAAGUGGAAAAACCUAAUCAGCAAAGGAGGCCCUGACAACAAGAAGUUCAGGUACCGCGGCGUGCAUCAACAGAGCAAGGGAAAAUGGGUAGCUGAGAUCCGUGAGCCUCGUAAGUGCACUUGCAAGUGGUUGGGGACCUUCGCCACUGCCGAGGAUGCUGCCUGCGCCUACGACCUGGCCGCCAUCAUCCUUUACGCUUCCAGGGCACAGCUCAACCUCCAGCCUUCCGGUUCCUCGUCCUAGAACUCCACGCGUGGCUCCUCGUCUUCCUCUUUAUCAUCCAGCUCAUCCACCCAAACCCUAAGACCCCUUCUCCCUAGCCCCUAUGGCUUCGACCUUACUUUUUUUUUUUUUUUUUUUUUUAAGUUUUAAAUUGGAGAUUGCAGUUGGCUAGAGAGAGAGAGAGAGAGAGGAAAGAGAGGAUGGUGGAGGAAGGUUGGGGGGACAGGUGGGGAAGGGUUUGGUGGCUCGGAGGAGGAGGAUUUGGUGCAUAAGAGGUGGUUGAGAGAUGGGUUCAGAUUAGGAAGAAAAAAGAGAGAAAGGGAGAGAAUUGUAGAUGGUGGGUCCCAUAUGUAUUUUGAUUCUUGGGUGAGUUUAGAGGAUUGGGUUUGGGGCAAACUGGGGUUUUCUGUUUGAAAUUGGAGAAUUAGGGUUAGGGUUUGGGUUGAAGAUCUUCGAAAGGGAGGGGGUUCUGGAACAGAAAGAGGGACAAAGGUAGGGGACGGGAAAAGGUGGGUGUUGGGGUGAGUGUUGUUGGGGGUUGCGGGGGAGAAUUGCAGAGGAAUAAAAGGGAUGGGGUUCUCGGAUGUUUGGAACGGAUCAGGAAGAAAAAGGGGAGAUAAUUAUAGGGGUGGGUCCCACAUUUUUAAAAUAAAAAUAUUAAAAUAAUUUAAUUUAAUUUUAUUAAUAUUUAAUUAAUAUUUUUA